GCUGGGCGAGGUGGCGCAGGCCUGUAAUCCCAGUGGCUAGGGAAGCUGAGGCAGGAGGAUCACAGUUCAAAGCCAGCCUCAGCAACUUAUCGAGACCCUGUCUCAA
Molecule: small RNA, 106 nt
Filed under: Marmota monax (woodchuck)
Lineage: Eukaryota; Metazoa; Chordata; Mammalia; Rodentia; Sciuridae
Source: RNAcentral